UGGGGAAUUUUGGACAAUGGGCGAAAGCCUGAUCCAGCAAUGCCGCGUGCAGGAUGAAGGCCUUCGGGUUGUAAACUGCUUUUGUACGGAACGAAAAAGCUCCUUCUAAUACAGGGGGCCCUG
RNAcentral lists this ribosomal RNA (123 nucleotides) under uncultured bacterium. Its description in RNAcentral is "partial 16S ribosomal RNA". It matches the Rfam family "Bacterial small subunit ribosomal RNA", at positions 355 to 471 of the family's 1533-position model. The record is from RNAcentral.